UAUUGGUCAAUGGGCUUAAGCCUGAACCAGCCAAGUCGCGUGAGGGAUGAAGGAUCUAUGGUUCGUAAACCUCUUUUAUAAGGGAAUAAAGUGCGGGACGUGUCCUGUUUUGUAUGUACCUUAUGAAUAAGGAUCGGCUAACUCCGUGCCAGCAGCCGCGGUAAUAAGGAGGAUCCGAGCGUUAUUCGGAUUUAUUGGGUUUAAAGGGUGCGUAGGCGGCCAUUUAAGUCAGCGCUGAAAGUCUGUGGCUCAACCAUAGAAUUGCCGUUGAAACUGGGGGGCUUGAGUAUGUUUGAGGCAGGCGGAAUGCGUGGUGUAGCGGUGAAAUGCAUAGAUAUCACGCAGAACCCCGAUUGCGAAGGCAGCCUGCCAGGCCAUGACUGACGCUGAUGCACGAAAGCGUGGGGAUCG
RNAcentral lists this ribosomal RNA (411 nucleotides) under uncultured bacterium. Its description in RNAcentral is "bacterial SSU rRNA". It matches the Rfam family "Bacterial small subunit ribosomal RNA", at positions 362 to 770 of the family's 1533-position model. The record is from RNAcentral.